ACUUAAAUUGAAGAGUUUGAUCAUGGCUCAGAUUGAACGCUGGCGGCAGGCCUAACACAUGCAAGUCGAGCGGUAGCACAGAGAGCUUGCUCUCGGGUGACGAGCGGCGGACGGGUGAGUAAUGUCUGGGAAACUGCCUGAUGGAGGGGGAUAACUACUGGAAACGGUAGCUAAUACCGCAUAACGUCGCAAGACCAAAGUGGGGGAC
This 208-nucleotide ribosomal RNA is filed under the name Klebsiella pneumoniae subsp. pneumoniae KPNIH6. Its description in RNAcentral is "partial 16S ribosomal RNA". It matches the Rfam family "Bacterial small subunit ribosomal RNA", at positions 1 to 214 of the family's 1533-position model. RNAcentral also lists the same sequence under 1 other name. The record is from RNAcentral. Lineage: Bacteria; Pseudomonadati; Pseudomonadota; Gammaproteobacteria; Enterobacterales; Enterobacteriaceae.